AAAUAGAUACCCGGGUAGUCCACGCCGUAAACGUUGGGCGCUAGAUGUGGGGGCCAUUCCACGGUUUUCCGCGUCGUAGCUAACGCAUUAAGCGCCCCGCCUGGGGAGUACGGCCGCAAGGCUAAAACUCAAAGGAAUUGACGGGGGCCCGCACAAGCGACGGAGCAUGCGGAUUAAUUCGAUGCAACGCGAAGAACCUUACCAAGGCUUGACAUAUACGAGAACACUGCAGAAAUGUAGGACUCUUUGGACACUCGUAUACAGGUGGUGCAUGGUUGUCGUCAGCUCGUGUCGUGAGAUGUUGGGUUAAGUCCCGCAACGAGCGCAACCCUCGUCGCAUGUUGCCAGCACGUAAAGGUGGGAACUCAUGUGAGACUGCCGGGGUCAACUCGGAGGAAGGUGGGGAUGACGUCAAAUCAUCAUGCCCCUUAUGUCUUGGGCUUCACGCAUGCUACAAUGGCCGGUACAAAGGGCUGCAAUACCGUAAGGUGGAGCGAAUCCCAAAAAGCCGGUCUCAGUUCGGA
RNAcentral lists this ribosomal RNA (524 nucleotides) under uncultured bacterium. RNAcentral describes it as "bacterial SSU rRNA". It matches the Rfam family "Bacterial small subunit ribosomal RNA", at positions 776 to 1297 of the family's 1533-position model. The record is from RNAcentral.